GACGAACGCUGGCGGCGUGCUUAACACAUGCAAGUCGUACGGUAAGGCCCUUUCGGGGGUACACGAGUGGCGCACGGGUGAGUAACACGUGAGUAACCUGCCCACAACUUUGGGAUAACGCUAGGAAACUGGUGCUAAUACUGGAUAUGUGCUCCUGCUGCAUGGUGGGGGUUGGAAAGCUCCGGCGGUUGUGGAUGGACUCGCGGCCUAUCAGCUUGUUGGUGGGGUAGUGGCCUACCAAGGCGGCGGCGGGUAGCCGGCCUGAGAGGGUGACCGGCCACAUUGGGACUGAGAUACGGCCCAGACUCCUACGGGAGGCAGCAGUGGGGAAUAUUGCACAAUGGGCGCAAGCCUGAUGCAGCAACGCCGCGGGCGGGAGGACGGCCUUCGGGUUGUAAACCGCUUUCAGCAGGGACGAAGCUUUUUGUGACGGUACCUGCAGAAGAAGCACCGGCUAACUACGUG
This 465-nucleotide ribosomal RNA is filed under the name uncultured bacterium. RNAcentral's name for it is "partial 16S ribosomal RNA". It matches the Rfam family "Bacterial small subunit ribosomal RNA", at positions 28 to 507 of the family's 1533-position model. The record is from RNAcentral.